AUUGAACGCUGGCGGCAUGCCUUACACAUGCAAGUCGAACGGUAACGGGCCUUCGGGUGCCGACGAGUGGCGAACGGGUGAGUAAUACAUCGGAACGUGCCCGAUCGUGGGGGAUAACGAGGCGAAAGCUUUGCUAAUACCGCAUACGAUCUACGGAUGAAAGAAGGGGACCGCAAGGCCUUGCGCGGACGGAGCGGCCGAUGGCAGAUUAGGUAGUUGGUGGGAUAAAAGCUUACCAAGCCGACGAUCUGUAGCUGGUCUGAGAGGAUGAUCAGCCACACUGGGACUGAGACACGGCCCAGACUCCUACGGGAGGCAGCAGUGGGGAAUUUUGGACAAUGGGCGCAAGCCUGAUCCAGCCAUGCCGCGUGCAGGAUGAAGGCCUUCGGGUUGUAAACUGCUUUUGUACGGAACGAAAAGCCUUCUUUUAAUACAGGAGGGUCAUGACGGUACCGUAAGAAUAAGCACCGGCUAACUACGUG
RNAcentral lists this ribosomal RNA (482 nucleotides) under uncultured bacterium. RNAcentral's name for it is "partial 16S ribosomal RNA". It matches the Rfam family "Bacterial small subunit ribosomal RNA", at positions 30 to 507 of the family's 1533-position model. The record is from RNAcentral.